Molecule: ribosomal RNA, 360 nt
Filed under: Caldifarciminota bacterium
Lineage: Bacteria; Pseudomonadati; Caldifarciminota
Description: partial 23S ribosomal RNA
Rfam family: Bacterial large subunit ribosomal RNA
Source: RNAcentral
CGCCCAUUAAAGCGGUACGUGAGCUGGGUUCAGAACGUCGUGAGACAGUUCGGACUCUAUCCAUCGUGGGCGCAGGAGACUUGAGGGGAGCUGCCCUUAGUACGAGAGGACCAGGGUGGACGUACCUCUGAUCUACGAGUUGUCACGCCAGUGGCAUUGCUCGGUAGUCAAGUACGGCAGGGAUAACCGCUGAAGGCAUCUAAGCGGGAAGCCCACCCCAAGAUGAGGUCUCCCGUGCGUUUCCGCUUCGGUGGAAACGCCCUGAAGGCUCCUGGUAGACGACCAGGUCGAUAGGCCACAGGUGUAAGCGCAGUAAUGCGUUCAGCCGAGUGGUACUAAUAAGCCGUGCGGCUUGAGGUU